RNAcentral lists this ribosomal RNA (419 nucleotides) under uncultured eukaryote. RNAcentral's name for it is "SSU rRNA". It matches the Rfam family "Eukaryotic small subunit ribosomal RNA", at positions 592 to 1013 of the family's 1831-position model. The record is from RNAcentral.
CAAUAGCGUAUAUUAAAGUUGUUGCGGUUAAAAAGCUCGUAGUUGGAUUUCUGUUGAUAACGGCCGGUCCGCACUAUGUGCGUGUAUCAGGUUCGGUGUCGCCAUCCUCGUGGGGAUCGUUUCUGUGCUUGAUUGCAUGGGGCGGAAUUCACGACUUUUACUUUGAGGAAAUUAGAGUGUUCACGGCAAGCUAUCGCUUUGAAUACAUUAGCAUGGAAUAAUGAUAUAGGGCGUAAGUUCUAUUUUGUUGGUUUCUAGAACUAAGGUAAUGGUUAAUAGGGACAGGUUGGGGGGCAUUCGUAUUAACGCGUCAGAGGUGGAAUUCUUGGAUUGCGUUACGACGAACUACUGCGAAAGCAUUUGCCAAGGAUGUUUUCAUUGAUCAAGAACGAAAGUAUGGGGAUCGAAGACGAUCAGAU